GAUAAGUUCCUCUUUUCAGAAGAUCAUUCGUCGGGAAGGCUUUUGAACUGGGAGCAACGGUUUAAUAUUGCUUUGGGGACGGCAAGAGGUAUCACAUACCUUCACGAGGAAUGCCGAGAUUGUAUAGUUCAUUGUGACAUAAAGCCUGAGAACAUAUUGUUGGAUGAGAACUACAUUGCCAAAGUAUCAGAUUUUGGCCUCGCCAAGCUCAUUAACCCAAAAGAC
RNAcentral lists this unclassified non-coding RNA (225 nucleotides) under Hevea brasiliensis (rubber tree). Lineage: Eukaryota; Viridiplantae; Streptophyta; Magnoliopsida; Malpighiales; Euphorbiaceae. The record is from RNAcentral.